This 428-nucleotide ribosomal RNA is filed under the name uncultured bacterium. Its description in RNAcentral is "bacterial SSU rRNA". It matches the Rfam family "Bacterial small subunit ribosomal RNA", at positions 355 to 775 of the family's 1533-position model. The record is from RNAcentral.
UGGGGAAUAUUGGACAAUGGGCGAAAGCCUGAUCCAGCGACGCCGCGUGUCGGAAGGAGUCCUUCGGGAUGUAAACGACUUUUGGUGAAGACGAAUAAGCAGCUCAGGGAAUGGGGCUGUGAUGACGGUAUCCAUGGAAUAAGCCCCGGCUAACUACGUGCCAGCAGCCGCGGUAAGACGUAGGGGGCAAGCGUUACCCGGAAUUACUGGGCGUAAAGGGAGCGUAGGCGGGAGGUCAAGUCCGGUGUGAAAGACCCUGGCUCAACCAGGGAUGAAGGCUGGAAACUGACAAUCUCGAGUACAGCAGAGGAAGAGGGAAUUACCGGUGUAGGGGUGAAAUCCGUAGAGACCGGUAAGAAGGCCAGUGGCGAAGGCGCUUUUCUGGGCUGUUACUGACGCUGAGGCUCGAAAGCCAGGGGAGCAAACCG